CAGCACAGAUACCAUUAAUAUUGCCUCCAAUAAUAAUGCCAUGCAAUCAAAGACCGACCCUGUACUGUAUGUGAUGUGGCUGCUUUGGAAGACCUCAAGAAUGACACGAGGCUAGUAAAUAUCACCGUGCCUGGCAGAACCACUUCUGCAAAGAGGAUGGCAUCUGCUUUUCCUGAGCAUUCUCUGCAGAGCUGGAGAGGUAUAAGGAAGAUGCUCAUCUUUUCCAGGAUGCAAGACCACUUUCUGCUCUAGACUGAAGAUCUGAACUAGAAUUUAAACUAAACUGAAUUCACCAAUAUCCUUAAGUGAGGUCCCAACUAUUUUCUUAUGUUCAUUGCUGUAUGUCAU
This 348-nucleotide long non-coding RNA is filed under the name Anas platyrhynchos platyrhynchos (common mallard). RNAcentral describes it as "lncRNA (ENSAPLG00000018183.1)". Lineage: Eukaryota; Metazoa; Chordata; Aves; Anseriformes; Anatidae. The record is from RNAcentral.